RNAcentral lists this ribosomal RNA (497 nucleotides) under uncultured bacterium. Its description in RNAcentral is "partial 16S ribosomal RNA". It matches the Rfam family "Bacterial small subunit ribosomal RNA", at positions 28 to 507 of the family's 1533-position model. The record is from RNAcentral.
GACGAACGCUGGCGGCGUGCCUAAUACAUGCAAGUUGAGCGAGGAAGCUUGGUGCUUGCACCAAUUUGAAGAGCAGCGAACGGGUGAGUAACGCGUGGGGAAUCUGCCUUUGAGCGGGGGACAACAUUGGGAAACGAAUGCUAAUACCGCAUAACAACUUUAAAAAUAAGUGUUAAGAUUGAAAGAUGCAAUUGCAUCACUCAAAGCUGAUCCCGCGUUGUAUUAGCUAGUUGGUGAGGGAAAGGCUCACCAAGGCGGUGAUACAUAGCCGACCUGAGAGGGAGCUACACCAGAAUGGGGAUGGGACAGCGGCCAAGAGUCUUCGGGGAGGAGCAGUUGGGGAACUUUGGAGAAGGAGGGAAGUCUGGCCGAGCAAAGCCGGGUGAGGGAAGAAGGGUUUCGGAUCGUAAAACUCUGUUUGUUGAGGAGAACAUUGGUGAGAGUGGAACGCUCAUGGAGUGACGGUAACUGCCGAAAAAGGAACGGCUAACUACGUG